CACGUAUUUAGCCGGAGCUUCUUAGUCAGGUACCGUCACUUUCUUCCCUGCUGAUAGGGCUUUACAUACCGAAAUACUUCUUCACCCACGCGGCGUUGCUGCAUCAGGGUUCCCCCCAUUGUGCAAUAUUCCCCACUGCUGCCUCCCGUAGGAGUCUGGGCCGUGUCUCAGUCCCAAUGUGGCCGUCCACUCUCUCAAGCCGGCUACUGAUCGCUGCCUUGGUGGGCCGUUACCCCGCCAACUAGCUAAUCAGACGCGGGCCCAUCCUGUACCACCGGAGUUUUCCCCGCAGCGCCAUGCGGCACCGCGGGCUUAUGCGGUAUUAGCAGCCGUUUCCAGCUGUUGUCCCCCUGUACAGGGCAGGUUACCCACGCGUUACUCACCCGUCCGCCACUAGGCUGUAUGCUGCUUCCGCCCGAAAGCUUCCGCUGCAUACGCCCCGUUCGACUUGCAUGUGUUAGGCACGCCGCCAGCGUUCAUCCUGAGCCAGGAUCAAACUCU
This 501-nucleotide ribosomal RNA is filed under the name uncultured Lachnospiraceae bacterium. Its description in RNAcentral is "partial 16S ribosomal RNA". Lineage: Bacteria; Bacillati; Bacillota; Clostridia; Lachnospirales; Lachnospiraceae. The record is from RNAcentral.